Molecule: long non-coding RNA, 345 nt
Filed under: Androctonus crassicauda
Lineage: Eukaryota; Metazoa; Arthropoda; Arachnida; Scorpiones; Buthidae
Source: RNAcentral
CCUUGAUUUCCGAACUUGAACCCAUUAGAUUUUUGCAUCUGGGGCUAUCUAAAAGAGCACGUGUAUGUGCAAUGAGUGGAUACUGUGGAUGCCCUGCAUCAUUGCGUGGAAAUGCCUUUGAGAACAUGCGAGAGAAUGUUGGUCUUUGCGAACAUUUGCAUGCCUCUUGAAGAGAAGAGCUUGAAGCAUGCUGCCGUGUUGAUGAUGGACAUUUUGAGCAUUUGGUAUGAGUUCAAGGUACAUGAAACACUACCAAAGGAACACCUAUAUGGGUUGUUGCUCCAUUUGUCAAUAAAGUCAUCAUUUCUUGGAAACAGUGCAUUGUUCGACCUAUGUUCAUUGGGG